RNAcentral lists this ribosomal RNA (320 nucleotides) under uncultured bacterium. RNAcentral describes it as "bacterial SSU rRNA". It matches the Rfam family "Bacterial small subunit ribosomal RNA", at positions 28 to 333 of the family's 1533-position model. The record is from RNAcentral.
GACGAACGCUGGCGGCGUGCUUAACACAUGCAAGUCGAGCGGUAAGGCCCUUUCGGGGUACGACGAGCGGCGAACGGGUAGAGUAACACGUGGGUGGACCUCGCCCUCCAGCUCUGGGAGUAAGCCUCGGGAAACGUAGGGUCGUAAUAACUGGAGUAUGACUCCACGGUGCAUGUCGUGGGGUGGAAAGACCUUGUGCGGCUGAGGAGUGGGCCCGGCCGGCCUAUCAGCUUGUUGGUGGGGUGGAUGGCCUACCAAGGCGACGACGGGUAGCCGGCCUGAGAGGGCGACCGGCCACACUGGGACUGAGACACGGCCCA